GUCUUCGUGGUGUAGUGGUCAGAAUACUGGGUGCAUAUUCCAGAGGUCUGUGGUUCGAGUCCCGGCGAAGACU
Molecule: transfer RNA, 73 nt
Filed under: Stegodyphus mimosarum
Lineage: Eukaryota; Metazoa; Arthropoda; Arachnida; Araneae; Eresidae
Rfam family: tRNA
About the family: Transfer RNA (tRNA) molecules are approximately 80 nucleotides in length. Their secondary structure includes four short double-helical elements and three loops (D, anti-codon, and T loops). Further hydrogen bonds mediate the characteristic L-shaped molecular structure. tRNAs have two regions of fundamental functional importance: the anti-codon, which is responsible for specific mRNA codon recognition, and the 3' end, to which the tRNAs corresponding amino acid is attached (by aminoacyl-tRNA synthetases). tRNAs cope with the degeneracy of the genetic code in two manners: having more than one tRNA (with a specific anti-codon) for a particular amino acid; and 'wobble' base-pairing, i.e. permitting non-standard base-pairing at the 3rd anti-codon position.
Source: Rfam by way of RNAcentral